Molecule: non-coding RNA, 6014 nt
Organism: Vicugna pacos (alpaca)
Lineage: Eukaryota; Metazoa; Chordata; Mammalia; Artiodactyla; Camelidae
Source: RefSeq, a predicted model, not a curated record
UUACAGGGCACUUCCAUGGAGGUCAUCCUGUUUUAUCAUCUCAUAGACAUUAUCAUCCCCAUUUUAAAGGUCUACUUCACUGGUUCUAUGAAAUCUACUAUUGAAGCUGAUGGAGAAAAGCAAAUACACAAAUCACCCAGCAGCUUCCCGAUGCACACUGCUUUCUGUGUCUUAAAUCUAACCUCCUCUUUCUCCCUUCUUUCAUCAAAUGCCACUCCAAUCCUUUCACCCUUGAGAUACUGGCAUUGCUGAAUCAGCCCAAGUCUCUGCUUUCCCCUUGCAUAUUCUUCAAGAGAGGCAGUCCUUGAUGACAGUAUUUGGCCUCUGAUCACCUACUCUGGGUUCUACUGGGACUUCCAAAGGCACCUACUCUACAUACUGCUCUACCUGCUUACACGCAGACCACAGUGCAGCUCUCAGCCAUGCCCUUUGGGGAUUCCGAGCCUGCAGAGGUUAGAAAGUUACUAUUGAGCAGGGAAAUACACCUUUGCAAUUGUCCUGGGGGCUAUUUCAGGCAAGAGAGCUGAAAACUUAAGAGGCUUUCUGAUUGUUGAUGCCUGGGGGACCCAAAAGCAAAAGACCUUUAUCUCCUUCAUCACCUAAGCCCCUAGGAUAGGUGCACCUCUGAAUGUCUGUCAGAGAAGUCAGCCUGCCUCAGGGAAAGGUCUCUGCCCUUCAGAGUUAUUAAUUCAUCCAGCAAAUCAGUCCCUAUUUUGUGCAGACCCUGGGAACUCAGCAGUGAGCAUGGCACCCAGGACUCCUGUUCACGUGGACCUGUUUCGUCAAGAAGCCUCAGCGGUAGGCAGAGUGGACAGCCCGGUGGCCCCACACACCCUCACCUGCCUCUGUGGCCUCUGCCGAUUCUUCCCUUUCUUUCAGAUUUGAAAAUCGAGACCUUUUCUCAUCCGUGAGGCUUGGAUGUCACACCUAUCAGACAGGGCUAGACCCGGCCUCAGACUCUCUCAGGUCUAGACUUAGCUCUACCUACUUACACUCAGACCACAUUUAGAUUCUCCUGUGAACUGUUCUGUACUGGAAGCCCUGAGAAAGCCUGUCCUUCCUCAGCUUCCAAGUGGACACAAGUCUGGUCCAUUCCUUUCCCUGAGCAGCUAAGCUGGUGCCUGUGAGCCUGCCCCUUACAGAUGGCUGACUGGACUGGUGGGCACCCGAUCCAAGGUCAUCCUAACUGCGGGCUGGCCAGGUACCUAUGAAGGGCUCUUGGUUUGAGAGAUUUGCCUAAAGGGGCAACAUGACUUCAGUGGGCCAAGAGCUCAGAACUGGGCUUGUCAGUCCAUCAGUAGUGGGAGACGGUAGGGACACACGCACACAGCUGGACCACAGGACAGGCAGGGCACUGGCAAGAGGACCAAAGGCUCCCGCUGCUGAGGGCCACAAACACCCCUGCCUCCAGAAAGGUCUUGGCUCCCAGUACUCUUCUGUUCUCAUUUGUGUUGCCGCCGGACCAGGAGGCCCUGCUGAGUUGAGAUGUUUCUCCUCCCCCAGUUGCAUCCCUUCCCUCCCACCGGUCUCACCGUCCUCUCUCACAGCUGCUCCUUGCCUCUGUGGACUGGAGCCCAACUGAAUUCCUGAUUCUCAUCUUCUUAAUCUUAAAGGCUUUGAGGAGUUCCUGCUGCAUGCUCAGCCUUGCGCCAGGUGCCAAGCGGGUGAGCAGAAAGGAAGCGAGACGCCCGGCCCCGGCCCUCAGGGCGCCUCCACUCUGGCAGGACAGAUACGGCCUAUGAGCAGCGCUGGGCCUGGUAACUCCCCAGGCCAGAGUCGGGCUGAUCUUGGAUGUGGUGUGUUCAGGGAAGGUGCCCUGUGAGGCCAGAGGAGGCCUCUGGGCACUGGGCAAGGGGUGUCAGAAAAUGCGGCUGGAAGGAAAGGCAGAGACGCGUCAUGCCGGCUGUGGAGACCAGCGUGACAAACGUCUGAGGGAUGGAGUGAGGCUGGUCAAGGGGACCAGGAGGAAGGUCCAAAUGGGGAGCUGGGGGCUGCUUCAGCCUACCGUCCUUACCCUGCCGUGAAAUCUGGGCAAGCAGGAUGGGUGUGCAGGCAUCCCGCCCUCCCAGUCACCUCGUCAGGCACGAAUUGCCCAGGAUUUUAAAAAAAAAAAGGGAAGUCCUCAUUAUGGGGUUGGAAAUCCUCAUCCUAGAGAUAAAAUUUUAUGAGUUGCCGAUGGCUCUGCACCCUGUGUUUUUGACAUUCCCUGUUGCACGUACAGUAUUUUAAACACAUGAGACACAGACAUGACUUUAAAAAAAUUUUUUUUUGAUUCUCUUACCCUUUCAUUUUUUUUUUCUUGCUGUCAUGGCUUAGUGGGUAGCUCUGAAGUUUUUAAUGCUGAAGGGCCCAUUUCAUGUAAUUUAUUGCCCUGCUUGUGUGAAAGCUGAGGCCUAUAAAUCGUCAAUACAGCCCGUCUAAUUCCAGCAACGGCAAGGCUUCGUCACAUGUAAUUAAAGGAUCCCAAAGCCAUUGGAAUGUAAUGGAUUUGGAAAUGACACCAUGGGGGCCCAGGGAGCAGGCCCAGGAAGAGGCGGCUGUAUUUCAAAGGCUCGCCGGCGCGGUCUGGGAUGGAUGGGGCUGCCCAGCUGGGCUCCAGCAGGGCCGGCUGUCGGGGGUAGAGAGGCAGGGUCUGGAUUUCAUCUGAGCCUCUGCUCUGAGACCACUUGCGGUUCCCACCUGGGUGGAGGUGCGCCCGGCUCUUGGCCCUACAUGCUCCUUCGGACUGGCCUGCCCGGCUACCACCUCUGAUGGGAGUGAGCAGCCGUGUCCUGGCAGGAGGAUUUGUAGAAACGGGGAGGGGCCCAGGCUUACAGACAGGGCCCAACCCCAGGAUGGUUUCACCUUCCCCAUGAGUACAAGUUCCAACUUUCCCCUUGAAGCUGUUCCUGGUGUUCAGACCCUCAUGGUCACCCAGGGGCCCUAUAUGUUCUGCUGAGAAGUUCCCCUAAUUCCCGCAUGUCCGCAACCCUCCUCCCUCUGAGCCCCCAGGGCACCUUGUCUGUCCUGCUUUGGGACAAUAUGGUGCUGGGUGUAGGUAUUUGUUUAUCUGCCUCCCCAAGUCCACCACCUCCCCAGGAACAAGGGCUGUGUUUAAGUUGUUGCUGACCCCAGCGGCCUUACAUGGUCCUGUCUCAUGGUAGGCGGUAGGCAACUGUGUAGCAGGAACGAAGAGAUGGGGAGUAAGAAAGGAAAGAGGAAAGGAAGAAGAAAGGACAGAAGGGAAGAAGAAAGAAAGGAAGGAAGGAGGAGAGGGAUUUGGGGCCAUCUCUUCCCAUCUCAUGUUUUUAUAAAUAAUAAGGAAACCAGAUUCCAAGAUGGCCCCCAACCAUCUCCACCUCCUGGUGGCCUCACCCACAUCACACCAGGGUGGCGUCUGUGACCAACACCAUGCGGCAGAAGUGUAGUUAUGUCCCUUCUGAGAUCAGGUUAUAAAAAGACUGCGGCUUCGGUCUCUUUUCCUCUCCCUCUCUCUCUUGAGUUGCUCGCUCUGGGGGAAGCAAGCCAUUGUGCUGUAUGAGCAGCCGUCCAGGGAGGCCUUCAUGUCGGGGGCCUGGAUGGAGCCUCUGGCUGACAGCCAGCCAGGAACCGAGGUCUGACAACACUGCGGCGAUGGGCUUGGAAAUGGUCCUCUGGCCCCAUGGAGCUUUGCAAUGACCACACCUUGGCCAACAGCUUGACUUCAGUCUCACUAGGCUGCACCCGGAUUCCUGACCUCAGAAGCCGUACAAGUAAAUGAAUGUUAUUUUGAGUUGCCAACUCUGGGAUAACGUAUUGCCCAGCGAAAGGUAACUAAUGCAAACACCAUCUACACAUUGAUGACACCAAAUAUUUAUUUCCAAGUCAGACCUCUCUGCUCAACUCCAGAAACCUGUGUCCAACUGCCUCCUUUACAUCUCUGCCCUCCGUCCAAACUGAACUGAUCAUCCUCUCAGCCUGCUUCCCCCACAGUUGUCCCCAUCCUGGUUGGUGGCGGCUCUUACCUGGAUGCUAGCCACAGCCUCCUACCUGCCUCGUGACCCUCCCGUGGCCACUGCAGUUUAUUCUCUACUCAGGGCCCAGGGAUGCCAGCCAAAUGCAUGUAUCAUGACCCUGCAAACUUAACUUGCCAAAGCCUCACAACUUCCACAAGACAAGAGUCAAAGUCCUUAAAUAGCACAUAAGGUGUCAACUAUUCCUUUCCGACCUCAUCUCCCACCUCUCUGCCCAACUCCCGUCUCUCAUGGGGCCACAUGGGCCUUUUGCCGCCAGGCCCACUCCCACAUUAGGGCUUUGCACUGACUCCUCCCUGUGUCUGGAUCACUCCCCCCCAGGUAUCCAUGUGGCUCAUUCCCUCACCUCUUUCAAGUCUUUACUCAGGUGUCACCCUUUCUAGGAAUUCUACCUUGACAACCCCUGAACUCCCAGCUUCAUUACUUUGCUGUCCACACUCUCCUCCCCAUCUUACAAAGCACUUAAAACCUUCCAACUUAUUAUAUAAUUUAUUUUUUAUGCUCACUGCCUGUGGGCAUUCUCUGCUAGUAUCUGAGCUCCAGGAGAGCAGGGGUUCUUGUUAGUAAUUUUCUGUUGUGCUCAUUGCAGGAUUACCAGCACCUAGAACAGAAUGCCUAGAACUAGGUGCUUGGCACAUAACAGCAAUCAAAAAAUAUUUUUGAAGAACGGAAAGAAGGGUGGAAGGAAGGAGGGAAGCAGAGAUGGCAAGAUGGCAGGAGGCUGGAUGGAGACAGUGAAGGGAGGGAGGAAGGACUCGCUCUGUGAUCCGAGUUGUUGUUUAGCACAUGCAGCUCCUCUCCUUGUAAGGUCUGCACUGCAGGGUCUUUGAAGGCAUGAGAGGAUGUCCCACCCACAGCAUCCAGUGACAGGCCCCGCUGAGACCAGGGCUGAGGGGAUGUUCUUGAUUGAGCUGUCCUUGGUCAUCGAGGAAUCCCUGUCUCAUUGCCCUCAUAAUCCAGCAAACCUAAUUAUGAGAUAUUUUCACUUCUCUGGUCUUUUGCUGCUAUUCCCAUCCAGCCCCUCUGCUUUUCCCACUUUUUCAUGGGUUGAAUUAUGUCGUCUGAAAAUAUAUGUUGAAGUCUCAAACCUUGCCCCCCACCAGUACCUUAGAAUGUGACCUUAUUUCAAAAUAGGAAUGUGACAGAUGGAAUUAAGUUAAAAUGAGGCCAUACUAGAGAAGGGUGGGCCCCUGACCCAAUGUGACGAACUGUCCUCUUGGAAAGGAGACAGACAUGUGGGGAGAAAUGUUAUGUGAAGACAGAGGCGGAGAUUGAAGUGAUGCAUCUACAGAUCAAGGAAUGCCGAGGAUUGUUAGCCACUGCCAGGAGCCAGGAGAGAGGCAAGGAAUGGAUUCUCCACCAGAGCCCUCAGAAGGAAGCAACCAUGCCAACACCUUGACCUCAGACAUUUAGCGCUUCCAAAAUUGACUGUGAAAGAAUAAAUAUCUGUUGUUUUGUUACAGCAGCCCUGAGAAACUCACACACACUGCACGCCUUCUUCUCCAAGACCAUCCCGCUCUUGCCUUGGAGACCUCUCUCAGUGUUCACAGAUACUAGAACACACCACCCUUGAUUCUCUGCAGAGUGUUUUCCCUGCUACACAUAAUACAAAGAAUCUCACCUCCUCCAAGAAGCCCUCUCGGACAGCUUAAGAAGAAGGAACUAAAUACUCUUCGCAUCCUUGUAUUUGAAGGUAGACUCGGGAAUGUAUGGCUUUUUUGUUUUUAAACUCACAAUUAAUGUGCAUCUUCUUGGCUUGAGAAAAUGGAGAUGGCGCAUCUUAUCCAUUUGUUUUUGACUUGCUUACUCUUUGCCACGUUGUCUCUCUGAUUAAAUGAUUUGAACAAGAAACAGAUGCAUCUCCUUCAUUGCCUAUAGUUCCAAAUCUAGAUACAGUAAAGAAAAGGCACUCAUGCUGGUGGGUAAGGACUGUUCAGUAAGAGGGGGCCUGAUUCACUUCUCUCCUCUCCUAUUUUAUGAAUGAGGAAAUUGAGGCCCAGGCAGAAAAAGUGACCCAAAAAG